RNAcentral lists this ribosomal RNA (497 nucleotides) under uncultured bacterium. Its description in RNAcentral is "partial 16S ribosomal RNA". It matches the Rfam family "Bacterial small subunit ribosomal RNA", at positions 28 to 507 of the family's 1533-position model. The record is from RNAcentral.
GAUGAACGCUGGCGGCGUGCCUAAUACAUGCAAGUCGAGCGAACAGAUGAGGAGCUUGCUCCUCUGACGUUAGCGGCGGACGGGUGAGUAACACGUGGAUAACCUACCUAUAAGACUGGGAUAACUUCGGGAAACCGGAGCUAAUACCGGAUAAUAUAUUGAACCGCAUGGUUCAAUAGUGAAAGACGGUUUUGCUGUCACUUAUAGAUGGAUCCGCGCCGCAUUAGCUAGUUGGUAAGGUAACGGCUUACCAAGGCAACGAUGCGUAGCCGACCUGAGAGGGUGAUCGGCCACACUGGAACUGAGACACGGUCCAGAUUCCUACGGGAGGCAGCAGUAGGGAAUCUUCCGCAAUGGGCGAAAGCCUGACGGAGCAACGCCGCGUGAGUGAUGAAGGUCUUCGGAUCGUAAAACUCUGUUAUUAGGGAAGAACAAAUGUGUAAGUAACUAUGCACAUCUUGACGGUACCUAAUCAGAAAGCCACGGCUAACUACGUG